Molecule: ribosomal RNA, 500 nt
Filed under: Pedioplanis inornata
Lineage: Eukaryota; Metazoa; Chordata; Lepidosauria; Squamata; Lacertidae
Description: partial 16S ribosomal RNA
Rfam family: Bacterial large subunit ribosomal RNA
Source: RNAcentral
GCCCAGUGACUUUCUUAAACGGCCGCGGUAUCCUAACCGUGCAAAGGUAGCAUAAUCACUUGUCCUCUAAAUAAGGACUAGUAUGAACGGUCAAAUGAGGACUUAACUGUCUCUUACAUUCAACCAAUAAAACUGAUCUCUCAGUUAAAAAGCUGGGAUAUAAACAUAAGACGAGAAGACCCUGUGGAGCUUCAAACCAAACCCAACCCUAAUGGGGUACGGUUUUUAGUUGGGGCGACUUCGGAGUACAAAAAAACCUCCGAUAAAAACUAUAUCAAGACCAACACGUCAACAUAUUUUUUCCCACUGACCCGGUAUUUGCCAAAAUAUCCGAUCAAUGAACCAAGUUACCCCAGGGAUAACAGCGCCAUCCCCUUCUAGAGUCCCUAUCGACAAGGGGGUUUACGACCUCGAUGUUGGAUCAGGACACCCAAAUAGUGCAGCCGCUAUUAAAGGUUCGUUUGUUCAACGAUUAAUAGUCCUACGUGAUCUGAGGUUUC